GACGAACGCUGGCGGCGUGCUUAACACAUGCAAGUCGAACGGUAAGGCCCUUCGGGGUACGCGAGUGGCGAACGGGUGAGUAACACGUGGGUGAUCUGCCCUGCACUUCGGGAUAAGCCUGGGAAACUGGGUCUAAUACCGGAUAGGACCACGGCCUGCAUGGGUGGUGGUGGAAAGCUUUUGCGGUGUGGGAUGGGCCCGCGGCCUCUCAGCUUGGUGGUGGGGUGAUGGCCUACCAAGGCGACGACGGGUAGCCGGCCUGAGAGGGUGACCGGCCACACUGGGACUGAGAUACGGCCCAGACUCCUACGGGAGGCAGCAGUGGGGAAUAUUGCACAAUGGGCGCAAGCCUGAUGCAGCGACGCCGCGUGAGGGAUGACGGCCUUCGGGUUGUAAACCUCUUUCAGCACCGACGAAGCGCAAGUGACGGUAGGUGCAGAAGAAGGACCGGCCAACUACGUGCCAGCCGCCGCGGUAA
This 478-nucleotide ribosomal RNA is filed under the name uncultured bacterium. Its description in RNAcentral is "partial 16S ribosomal RNA". It matches the Rfam family "Bacterial small subunit ribosomal RNA", at positions 28 to 523 of the family's 1533-position model. The record is from RNAcentral.